AGUGAACGCUGGCGGCAGGCCUAAUACAUGCAAGUCGAACGGCAGCACAGCAGAGCUUGCUCUGUGGGUGGCGAGUGGCGGACGGGUGAGGAAUACGUGGGAAUCUGCCCAGUCGUGGGGAUAACGUAGGGAAACUUACGCUAAUACCGCAUGCGCCCUUCGGGGAAAGCCGGGGACCUUCGGGCCUGGCGCGAUUGGAUGAGCCCACGUCGGAUUAGCUAGUUGGCGGGUAAAGGCCCACCAAGGCGACGAUCCGUAGCUGGUCUGAGAGGAUGAUCAGCCACACUGGAACUGAGACACGGUCCAGACUCCUACGGGAGCAGCAGUAGGGAAUAUUGGACAAUGGGCGCAAGCCUGAUCCAGCCAUGCCGCGUGAGUGAAGAAGGCCCUCGGGUGUGAAGCUCUUUUGUCCGGAAAGAAAAGCGCCGGGUUAAUACCCUGGUGUCCUGACGGUACCGGAAGAAUAAGCACCGGCUAACUUCGUGCCAGCAGCCGCGGUAAU
RNAcentral lists this ribosomal RNA (502 nucleotides) under uncultured bacterium. RNAcentral's name for it is "bacterial SSU rRNA". It matches the Rfam family "Bacterial small subunit ribosomal RNA", at positions 29 to 524 of the family's 1533-position model. The record is from RNAcentral.